Molecule: ribosomal RNA, 818 nt
Filed under: Conocephalus fuscus
Lineage: Eukaryota; Metazoa; Arthropoda; Insecta; Orthoptera; Tettigoniidae
Description: SSU rRNA
Rfam family: Eukaryotic small subunit ribosomal RNA
Source: RNAcentral
AGUAUCCAUUGGAGGGCAAGUCUGGUGCCAGCAGCCGCGGUAAUUCCAGCUCCAAUAGCGUAUAUUAAAGUUGUUGCGGUUAAAAAGCUCGUAGUUGGAUUUGUGUCCCACGCUGUCGGUUCAUCGCUCGUCGGUGUCUAACUGGCAUGGUUCGUGGGACGUCCUGCCGGUGGUGGCGAGUCGAAAGCGUGCGGCCGCCGUGGUUAGCCCGCGUGCGGUUCCUGCGCGCCGUAGACGGACCCCGAUGAAAUCCUACCGCGGUGCUCUUCAUCGAGUGUCGAGGUGGGCCGGCACGUUUACUUUGAACAAAUUAGAGUGCUUAAAGCAGGCCGGCUGCGCCUGAAUACUGUGUGCAUGGAAUAAUGGAAUAGGACCUCGGUUCUAUUUUGUUGGUUUUCGGAACCCGAGGUAAUGAUUAAUAGGGACAGGCGGGGGCAUUCGUAUUGCGACGUUAGAGGUGAAAUUCUUGGAUCGUCGCAAGACGGACCGAAGCGAAAGCAUUUGCCAAGUAUGUUUUCAUUAAUCAAGAACGAAAGUUAGAGGUUCGAAGGCGAUCAGAUACCGCCCUAGUUCUAACCAUAAACGAUGCCAGCUAGCGAUCCGCCGAAGUUCCUCCGAUGACUCGGCGGGCAGCUCCCGGGAAACCAAAGCUUUUGGGUUCCGGGGGAAGUAUGGUUGCAAAGCUGAAACUUAAAGGAAUUGACGGAAGGGCACCACCAGGAGUGGAGCCUGCGGCUUAAUUUGACUCAACACGGGAAACCUCACCAGGCCCGGACACCGGAAGGAUUGACAGAUUGAGAGCUCUUUCUGAUUCGGUG